Molecule: small RNA, 29 nt
Filed under: Bombyx mori (domestic silkworm)
Lineage: Eukaryota; Metazoa; Arthropoda; Insecta; Lepidoptera; Bombycidae
Description: ovarian small RNA-29332
Source: RNAcentral
UCGUUAAACUCUGUCUACACAUCUACAUA